AGAGUUUGAUCCUGGCUCAGGACUAACGCUGGCGGCGUGCCUAACACAUGCAAGUCGAACGAAGUAGCAAUACUUAGUGGCAGACGGGUGAGUAACACGUGGUCAACCUACCUCAGCGUGGGGGAUAACUAGCCGAAAGGUUAGCUAAUACCGCAUACGAUCGCUAAGUGGCAUCACUUGGCGAUGAAAGGAGCAAUCCGCGCAGAGAGGGGACUGCGUCCCAUUAGUUAGUUGGUGGGGUAAUGGCCUACCAAGACUCCGAUGGGUAGCUGGCUUGAGAGAGCGACCAGCCACACUGGAACUGAGACACGGUCCAGACUCCUACGGGAGGCAGCAGUGAGGAAUUUUCCGCAAUGGGCGAAAGCCUGACGGAGCGACGCCGCGUGUGGGAAGAAGGCCUUCGGGUCGUAAACCACUGUCGAGGGGGACGAUAUUGACGGUACCCCUGGAGGAAGCCCCGGCUAACUACGUGCCAGCAGCCCGCGGUAAGACGUANGGGGCAAGCGUUGUCCGGAAUCAUUGGGCGUAAAGCGCUCGUAGGUGGAUCGGUAAGUCUGCAAGCAAAGACCUGGGCUCAACUCAGGUUUCCGUGUAGAAACUGNCAAUCUUGAGGCAA
Molecule: ribosomal RNA, 616 nt
Filed under: uncultured bacterium
Lineage: Bacteria
Description: bacterial SSU rRNA
Rfam family: Bacterial small subunit ribosomal RNA
Source: RNAcentral